AUGCACGCUGGCGGCGUGCCUAAUACAUGCAAGUCGAGCGAACAGACGAGGAGCUUGCUCCUCUGACGUUAGCGGCGGACGGGUGAGUAACACGUGGAUAACCUACCUACAAGACUGGGAUAACUUCGGGAAACCGGAGCUAAUACCGGAUAAUAUAUUGAACCGCAUGGUUCAAUAGUGAAAGACGGUUUUGCUGUCACUUAUAGAUGGAUCCGCGCCGCAUUAGCUAGUUGGUAAGGUAACGGCUUACCAAGGCAACGAUGCGUAGCCGACCUGAGAGGGUGAUCGGCCACACUGGAACUGAGACACGGUCCAGACUCCUACGGGAGGCAGCAGUAGGGAAUCUUCCGCAAUGGGCGAAAGCCUGACGGAGCAACGCCGCGUGAGUGAUGAAGGUCUUCGGAUCGUAAAACUCUGUUAUUAGGGAAGAACAAAUGUGUAAGUAACUAUGCACGUCUUGACGGUACCUAAUCAGAAAGCCACGGCUAACUACGUG
Molecule: ribosomal RNA, 496 nt
Filed under: uncultured bacterium
Lineage: Bacteria
Description: partial 16S ribosomal RNA
Rfam family: Bacterial small subunit ribosomal RNA
Source: RNAcentral